Aedes aegypti (yellow fever mosquito) is the source of this 559-nucleotide long non-coding RNA. RefSeq lists it as uncharacterized. The record is from RefSeq and is a predicted model, not a curated record. NCBI's taxonomy places the organism in Eukaryota, Metazoa, Arthropoda, Insecta, Diptera, Culicidae. The transcript is spliced from 2 exons.
GGAAGGGUGUUUAUUAGUGAGGGAGCAGUCUUCAAAAAAUCUUACUCCAAGAGCUGCUGAGAUUCAAAACCCACGGACCAAGAUCAAAUGCGUGCGCUCAUUAUAUUCCAAUCAAGGCAUGCAUUGAAUCAUGCGCCUUGUAUGGAAGGAUUGAAUCCCAGGAUUCGAUCCUUGAUUGAAGAGAGUUAUUAAAAUAAAUCAAGUAGACCUUGAUAAUUUAAUAGAAAAAUUAUCUGUGACAGGACACACGUUUCACGAAGUAUGUAUUUCUCUAUGAUUCAAUUGUUUUUAUGUUCACGUUUUCCCCUUAAAUCAUUUCGAUUCGUGUUUGGUAAAUUAGUUUAUCGAAUCAAAUACAAAUCAAUUAAAACUCUUGGAGCUUCAGAUUCGGAUUUGCAGUGCAGUUGGCAUCCAACAUUAUCUGAAGCCUACGCUUGAAGCAAAAAGAAUUGAACUACCAUCAGACCUCGGAAAUUGAUGAAUUUAUGAAUGAAUGGAAUUAUUUGCUCUGUUGAAAUUUUAUUAUAAAUAAAAUAAUGUGAAAGCGUUGUAGAAAUAA